GACGAACGCUGGCGGCGUGCUUAACACAUGCAAGUCGAACGGAGUGCCUAUAACAGAGGUUUCGACCAAUUGAUUAGGUUACUUAGUGGCGGACUGGUGAGUAACGCGUGAGGAACCUGCCUUUCAGAGGGGGACGAACAGUUGGAACGAUUGCUAAUACCGCAUGAUACAUUCGGGCGGCAUCGCCUGAAUGUCAAAGAUUUUUAUCGCUGAAAGAUGGCCUCGCGUCUGAUUAGAUAGUUGGCGGGGUAACGGCCCACCAAGUCGACGAUCAGUAGCCGGACUGAGAGGUUGACCGGCCACAUUGGGACUGAGAUACGGCCCAGACUCCUACGGGAGGCAGCAGUGGGGAAUAUUGGGCAAUGGACGCAAGUCUGACCCAGCAACGCCGCGUGAAGGAAGAAGGCUUUCGGGUUGUAAACUUCUUUUAAGGGGAGAGCAGAAGACGUACCCCUUGAUAAGCCACGGCUAACUACGUGCCAAGCCGCCGCAGUAAC
Molecule: ribosomal RNA, 497 nt
Filed under: uncultured bacterium
Lineage: Bacteria
Description: bacterial SSU rRNA
Rfam family: Bacterial small subunit ribosomal RNA
Source: RNAcentral